CACAGAAUGGGCAGAGGCUGCCCAGCAGACCUCAUUCUCCAUGCCACCUCCCCAAGAGAUGAUUGAAGAACUUUGAUCACCACGCCACGUUUGGUAGGGAAGUUCCUUCUGGAGGAUUUGUUCAAAGCCCUGGCUGUUGUAGGCCAUUACUGAACCCAUCUGAGAAUGUGAAAAAGAAAGGAGGAUGAAGGAAUGAAUAUUCUUGGAGUAUCAGUGCCUGGCAGUGUGUGAAUUGCCUAUCAUACAAAGGCCAGUUAAAAUCCUCCUAAAGGUGGGAGAAGCUGUGAUGCUACUCCAGUCCUACAGCUGAAGAAACUGAUCUAUGAUUUUAAAAGUUGCCCAGGAUGAUGCAUCAUCCAUGAAAAACCCAAAACAAAGGCCUGUGUUGUAAAUAUAUUUGAGUCCAGACCACAGGCUCCUCAUCUGUGAGGGAAGAAAGUCAGAGUUCUUGGAAGAUCCAGCUCACUUGACAUAUGAUGAGAACCUCCAGGGAGAAAACCUCCAUGCCUAAGGCCAGGAAAACGUCCCCAGUGUGAGCAGGCCUGGCACCCGUCCCUUGGCAGCAGCACUCUUUGGCCACUGGAUGCCAUCUGCUGCUGGCCCUCAGUGGUGCCCUGGGCCUUGCCAGGCAUGGGUGAAGACCAAGCUCCAUCACUCCUCCCAGAAAUGGUGGCCUCUGCGGGCAACGAGCCUGCUUGUCAGAGCCACCUGCUGGCCACCACACUGCAGCACCAAACCCCACUGACGCCGGAAGCCCAGGUUAACCUUCUGAGUCUUGGGGCAGGCCUGCAGCUUUGCCUCUUCUUGACUACCAGACAUUAGUGCCGCAGCAAAUUCACAGCUCCAGCCAUGAGCACGGCACAUUUGGUAUAAAGUGUAAAUAUUUGAAUGCUAAUUGCUGUAACACAAACAGGCCACCGUGUCCAAAGCAGAUGAAUGCUGUUUCAGGAAGCCAGCAGACCCGGGUGCACAGGCAGCUUGUGUUGGGACUGCACAGCCAAUGACAGACGUCUGGAGCCCAUUGCACCUCCCCAGCCCCACAGGGAGCUGCCAGAGUGGCUCACAUAUGUGAGGCUUUGCCUCUCAGCCAUCACCCAUCUGCCCAGUCUCACUUGAGGAAAACCUGUCCUGGGAAAGUGACCUGACCCAGAAAAAUAAAGCCAUCGUCUUUAAGAGCAGCCUGCUGUCAUCCAACCCAAGCACGCCACUGUCUGUCCCCUGGACGUGUCUUUGCCCAGACCCACCAGCCAGCAACUCCAGCAAACAGAAAUGGGAUGCUCCUGGAAAGAGAGUGUGAGAGCAUCCCUUGGUCUGGUUAAUGUGAGCAACUUCCCUGAUACUUGUCAUAGCAGCUUGUGUCAGAGAAGCGGAAAAAUUAUUAAAAUUGUGAAAUUGGUACUUGAGGAG
RNAcentral lists this long non-coding RNA (1407 nucleotides) under Heterocephalus glaber (naked mole-rat). RNAcentral's name for it is "lncRNA (ENSHGLG00000034351.1)". Lineage: Eukaryota; Metazoa; Chordata; Mammalia; Rodentia; Bathyergidae. The record is from RNAcentral.